GCCUGUUUAUCAAAAACAUUUUUGGAUAAUAUAUAAGUUUGCCUGCCCAAUGAUUUUAUUCAAUGGCCGCGGUAUUUUGACCGUGCAAAGGUAGCAUAAUCAUUAGUUUUUUAAUUGAAAGCUGGAAUGAAUGGUUUGACGAGAAAAUUACUGUCUCUUUAAGAUAAUUUGAAUUUUAUUUUUUAGUUAAAAAGCUUAAAUAUUUAUAAGGGACGAGAAGACCCUAUAGAAUUUUAUAAUUUAAAUUUUAAUUUUUUAUAGUUUAAGUUGAUUAUUAUAGUUUAAAUUAUUUUGUUGGGGCGACAGGAAAAUUUAUUUAACUUUUUUUUUUUAUUUACAUUAAUUAGUGAAUUUUUGAUCCAAUUUUAUUGAUUAUAAGAGGAAAUUACCUUAGGGAUAACAGCGUUAUUAAUUUGGAGAGUUCAUAUCGAUAAAUUAGUUUGCGACCUCGAUGUUGGAUUAAAAUUAUGUUUAGGUGGAGAUGCUUAAAUAAUAAGUCUGUUCCACUUUUAAAAUUUUACAUGAUCUGAGUUCAGACCGG
Molecule: ribosomal RNA, 541 nt
Filed under: Cyclommatus mniszechi
Lineage: Eukaryota; Metazoa; Arthropoda; Insecta; Coleoptera; Lucanidae
Description: partial 16S ribosomal RNA
Rfam family: Bacterial large subunit ribosomal RNA
Source: RNAcentral